CAGACACAACCAUACAGCAUGUAGUACAACAUGCUAAUGAGAUCUCAGUGUGUUGCAUCAAUUCGCUGAAAGACCAUUUAACAACAUCUGUCAGAGUGUUGACUGUCCAGCUAAAUUUAGAAUGAUUUUAGAGGCAUCUUUCUGCCCGCAGAACUUACAGUGAAAAAGAAAAUGCUGGCUGCAAAAUACUCAGCUGGGAAGGCUUGAUAUAGCAUACAGUCUUGUUCUAUUCCUUUUUAUUUUAUUUUUUAAAAGAUUUUAUUUAUUUACUCAUGAAAGACACAGAGAUAGAGAGGUAGAGACAUAGACAGAGGAAGAAGCAGGCUCCAUGCAGGGAUCCUGAUGCAGGACUCGAUCCUGGGACUCCAGGAUCAUGCCCUGGGCCAAAAGCAGAUGCUUAACCGCCAAGCCAUCCAAGCAUCCCACUGUCCUAUUCCUUUUUAGAUGAGAUCACUUCUGAUGAUGAAAAAAGGAAAUCUGACCAAUAAGUAAAUAUACAAAAUUUUGAAUCUUCUGGAAGCAACAGGAAGAAACAGACAAAUAGGAGAUGUCAGUGGCAAAAAAGAGAAGGAAGAAGAGGAAGAAAGAAAAGGAAGAAACCUAUUAGAGUGGUUAUAAUAAGAGCUAAAGUUUAUUUGAACACAUGGACAUUCAACCAAGGCUUCGUGACUCAGCUACAGAAAAGAUCGUUUCUGAGUAAGCAGAGAAGCAGAGACAACUAUACACAUCACUGGAGAGGAGUGCAGCUAAGGAGAUGGAUUCAGUCCCAUUGCUGAUGGGAAUCGGAAAUGGGAAAAAAUGGACCUAUAUAGUUCUGGCUAUCCUGCUAUGAACAUGGAGCUUCCCAGGAGAGAGAAUGGUUAGAAGGAUGACAUGAUAUCUGCUGGGUGAACCCACCACCAUGUGACUAGAGGCCUGACAAGCAUCCAUCAUGUACGAAGUUUAAGUAGUUUGUUCACAGGCCAUGAGUUCUUGGACAUUGAUUAGUGGAUGUUGUAGAUAUAUUCUGUUGUUUUUCAGACUAAGCUGAAUCUGGAUAUCCCCUAAUUAGGGAGAUUUUAAGGCUUG
RNAcentral lists this long non-coding RNA (1068 nucleotides) under Canis lupus familiaris (dog). RNAcentral describes it as "lncRNA (ENSCAFG00000050153.1, ENSCAFG00805004058.1)". The record is from RNAcentral. Lineage: Eukaryota; Metazoa; Chordata; Mammalia; Carnivora; Canidae.